UUUCCGUAGGUGAACCUGCGGAAGGAUCAUUCAUAAUAAGGAUUUUAUAUCGCUUUUUUCUUUGUACAUCCACUUCGUGUGCAAUGUGAGGCGUGUGCUCGUUGAAUCGGCCCCAAACAUCAACUAUUAUCAGAAGUCUUGGUCUAGAACAUAUGAUGAGUAAAACAAUUGUACAUACAACUUUCAACAACCGAUCUCUUGGCUCUCUCAUCGAUGAACACCGCAACAGGUCGUCAAAGACCACGUCUGCUCUCGAGUCACCUCGUCCGGACCCGAAUC
Molecule: unclassified non-coding RNA, 279 nt
Filed under: plant metagenome
Description: partial contains small subunit ribosomal RNA, internal transcribed spacer 1, and 5.8S ribosomal RNA
Source: RNAcentral